Molecule: ribosomal RNA, 465 nt
Filed under: uncultured Klebsiella sp.
Lineage: Bacteria; Pseudomonadati; Pseudomonadota; Gammaproteobacteria; Enterobacterales; Enterobacteriaceae
Description: bacterial SSU rRNA
Rfam family: Bacterial small subunit ribosomal RNA
Source: RNAcentral
CCUACGGGAGGCAGCAGUGGGGAAUAUUGCACAAUGGGCGCAAGCCUGAUGCAGUCAUGCCGCGUGUGUGAAGAAGGCCUUCGGGUUGUAAAGCACUUUCAGCGGGGAGGAAGGCGUUAAGGUUAAUAACCUUGGCGAUUGACGUUACCCGCAGAAGAAGCACCGGCUAACUCCGUGCCAGCAGCCGCGGUAAUACGGAGGGUGCAAGCGUUAAUCGGAAUUACUGGGCGUAAAGCGCACGCAGGCGGUCUGUCAAGUCGGAUGUGAAAUCCCCGGGCUCAACCUGGGAACUGCAUUCGAAACUGGCAGGCUAGAGUCUUGUAGAGGGGGGUAGAAUUCCAGGUGUAGCGGUGAAAUGCGUAGAGAUCUGGAGGAAUACCGGUGGCGAAGGCGGCCCCCUGGACAAAGACUGACGCUCAGGUGCGAAGGCGUGGGGAGCAAACAGGAUUAGAUACCCGUGUAGUC